UACGUAGGGUGCGAGCGUUAAUCGGAAUUACUGGGCGUAAAGCGUGCGCAGGCGGUUUUGUAAGACAGGCGUGAAAUCCCCGGGCUCAACCUGGGAACUGCGUUUGUGACUGCAAGGCUAGAGUACGGCAGAGGGGGGUGGAAUUCCACGUGUAGCAGUGAAAUGCGUAGAGAUGUGGAGGAACACCAAUGGCGAAGGCAGCCCCCUGGGUCGAUACUGACGCUCAUGCACGAAAGCGUGGGUAGCAAACAGGAUUAGAUACCCUGGUAGUCCACGCCCUAAACGAUGUCAACUAGGUGUUGGGUGGGUAAAACCAUUUAGUACCGGAGCUAACGCGUGAAGUUGACCGCCUGGGGAGUACGGCCGCAAGGUUAAA
RNAcentral lists this ribosomal RNA (376 nucleotides) under uncultured bacterium. RNAcentral's name for it is "bacterial SSU rRNA". It matches the Rfam family "Bacterial small subunit ribosomal RNA", at positions 524 to 898 of the family's 1533-position model. The record is from RNAcentral.